UCUUUUCAGACUUCAACUGCUUCGCAUGAUGUGGCCGGCAGCCAUCCUCAUGCGACAAGACUCUCUCCCAAAUAGAUCGAGUUGAUUAUGCUAGAGAGUUGAUAAAAUAUUGUAAGCUUUGAUUUCAUCUUGAAUACAUCUUUUCUAUUUUUUCUUCUUCUUUCUAGUUGGAGAUGGAGAUCGGCUGAACUUCUUUCUUGUCGGAGAUGAUCGGAUUUCAUGGAAGAAAUCAUGGUGAUUUCUUGAAUCGGUAGUUGCUGUAUUAUGUAAUCGAGCCCGAGCCCGUCAAAUUUCUGCCGAGCCCGAGCUUGUCAAAUCUCUGCCGAGCCCGAGCUUGGCUAGGCGAAGCUCGCCCGAUCCCGAGCCGAGCCUGAGCACACCACUCUGAAGUUGACGAGACGAGCCCGAGCAAGCCAAAGCUCUGUUCGGCUCGGUUCAUUUGCAGCACUUGGUCACUACCAACGAAACCUAGCUGGUCCUCACCACUCUCAUUUCAAGUCUAAACCUGACUUCUCUAUCAUUUUUCCGGCAUAAGUCAUCAAAAUCGUGGUGAUAUAGUGAAAAUGGAAAUCGACUAGCAAUAAGGUUUUCGGUGAGGAUACAAAGUUGAAAUUCCAAUUGAAGGCGGCACAUCACCAACUGGAUCAAUUGAUAUAAUUUGUAAAAAAGAACCAAAGUUGAAUGUUAAGCAAACCGGAGACGACCCAAAAGUACAUCCCAAGAAUGAAGAUAUAAUUCCAAGGGUUCAACAACACCAACUCCGUGAUGGAAGCCUACCAAUUUUGAUCUUUCAUUAGCUUAUCUUUCCCACCGAAGUUUUUUUUGCGACGUAUUUCUGUUCAAGUAGAAUUGGUAGAAUUUCGCAUCGUCUUCAACAUCUUCAUAAAAAAAGCAUCAACAUCAAAAUCUUCAUUCACCCCACCAUCCACAUCAACAUCUUCUUCAUCCAAAAAAGCAUCAACUUCAACAUCUUCAUUCAAAAACAAUCGACAUGAUAAUCACAUCAUUUCCCUUCAAAUUCACAAAUCGCAGUGCAUCCAUGUCACAUACCCCACUUAUCAUCCCAGCAUUCCUCAACCGUUGAGUCAAAGCAAUAACCUUGAGGCCUCUAUGGUUCAUAAACCGUGUCAUCUGUGACGGAAUAUUUUUUUUGCCACAUCUUUCUGUUUUCGAGUAGUCCGGAGACGGAUCAGUCAACAUUAUUUUUUGUUGAUGGCUACAAUCAUGGAACAAUAGCCAUUGAUAUGGUGAAACAACCCGCUGUCUCUUGAACUUCUCCUUCAAUCUAUGGAACUGGAAGAUUAAUGAAUUGAACCCCAUUGUAAAGCAUACCCUAACACCGGAAACCUCAAUAGCUACUAGUCCAUUUGUAGCCAUCAACAAAAAUAUCUAUUGAGAUUUCCAGUGUUAGAUUACUCCUUUACAAUGGAGUUGAAUUCAUUAAUUUUCCAGAACUUCCAGAUUGAAGGAGAAGUUCUAGAGACAGCGGGCUGUUUCACCAUAUCAAUGCCCUACUAGUCCAUGAUUGUAGCCAUCAACAAAAAACCGAGCUUAUGUUCAUUCGUUUUUGGAUAGACCAUUUAGAUUUUGAGAUAAGUAUGGCUACAGCGGUUGAGGAAUGCUGGGAUGAUAAGUGGUGUAUGUGACAUGGAUGCACUGCGGUUUGUGAUUUUGGAGGGAAAUGAUGUGAUUAUCAUGUCUACAACAUUACGUUUUUGAAUGAAGAUUUUGAUGUUGAUGCUUUUUUGGAUGAAGAAGAUGUUUAUGUGGAUGGUGGGGUGAAUGAAGAUUUUGAUGUUGAUGCUUUUUUUUUUUUGAUGAAGACGAUGCGAAAUUCUUUGUUGAGUUUGGUGCAACUUCGUAUUUCCGGCCAGAGGAUGAGGUAUAAACACCAUUUUUUUACUGACACACAUAUAUUCAUCGCAUCAUAGCAUCCCUUACUUGUUUGCAUAUACAUGUUUACCAUAAACAUUAUAUAGAUUACAUGAUAGACUACUACUUUAUUGUCAAAUAGGAAAAUGUUGCAUAGGAAGGAAUUAUUUACUCGAUUGUACAUUAGUAUUUUUGGUUAUAAACAAAAACAAAAAAGGGAAAAAAAGAAGAGAACAAAUCUUCCAAUAUUGUCAAAACAUAAAUUAUCAUGUAUAACCUGAGUAAUCUCCGAACAAUGAAUGUUUCAUCUAAUGAACAAAGUGAUUCAAUUUUAUUAUUAUUACUUUUUACUUUUUUUUCAUACUCCUCAUUUGAUUUUCAUUAAAUUGUAGAAGGAUUAAUGUACCUACUAAUCUUGAUGCAACAAAGUUUUGGAACUGCAUACUUACUAGCUUAGGGUAUACGGUUAAUGCUCAAAAUGAUGAGCUUCUUUUUAUUCACUUCAUUUUCACUAAAGCAAAGUAUCUAAUAUUUUGCUCAUAUAAUAAUACCUUUGUACAUUAGUAAUUUUUGUUAUAAAAAAAAAAAAAAAAAAGGAAACAAAGAAAAGAACAAAUCAAAGUGUCUAAUAUUUUUCUCGCAUAAAUAUUUAUUUUUAAUUUUUUGUACUAAAAGUCUCUCUAUGCAUAAAGUACUGUAGAAUCAAAAUUUUGUUCAAUUUGGGCUUUUGGUUGAAAUGGAUCAAAUUAAUCAUGCAGGAUAGGCAAUCCACCUGUUCUAAUUUAAGCUUAAUCAAACUAAAUCAUGCAACUCUUGCUGGCUGGUCGAUCCUUGUUCCAGUUGACCCAUCUAGUUGAUCCAAGCUUUUUUAAACUUACUUUUUCUUUUAUUAUUUUAAUUUUUUUCCUUUCUUGUGAACUCUGGUAGUUUUAAAAGCUUUUACGUAUUAAUAUUUGGUGUUGAGUUUUCUGAAAAGAGAUAUUUUAAAAUCUUUUAUUUCCACUUAAUUUUUUUUUAAGAAGGGGAUUCUUUCAAAUAAAUGGAUGGGCCUCUGAGGCGAGUUGUAGAGUUACUGUGUCGACUUUAAAUCUAUUUGCCUUCUCAUGUUUUCUUAUAUUUAUGCCUCUUUUUUGUUUGGCAUGGGCUUUAGUAGAUGGUGCAUAGGCGUCCUGAUUUUUGGGACACGAUUAAAUAAAAUAAAAGAAAGAAAACAUUAUAAAAUAAAUUAAAACCGCAUAACGUUGAAAAGAAACUAUAUUCAUAUUUCUUACUUAACCCUUUAAAUGACACAAUAUUGAAAUUGAAUAUUGUUGUCUUAAAACUCUUAAAAAACACACCUCAAGUGAGUUAGGAACAACUUCAUUACAUCCGACUUUGGCCGGACCUGUAAAUUGUUGGCUUCAGUACAUCCGACAAGCAACUCAAGAGGAGUGUCUCGUAAUAAUUUCCAUAUUACCUUAUUUAACUCACAAUAACACCUAAAUAAACCACGCAUUAAAGCACACUUAUCAUUGCUAGCCAUUCCUUCUCCACAUUGGUACUUACACUCAAUCAUAUAUAUGCAUCCAUAUAUAUAUAUAUAUGCAUCUAUAUACACAUUUAUAUUAAUAAUAACUAUAUAUUUUUACUUGUAAUAUUUCAAAAAAAAAUACAGGUUCUCACAAUAGAUCUAAUUUUAUUUGAUCAGGUCACUAUAUGGAAUGGAAUGUAGUCUUAAUGGUCAAAAACUCCUAGUAGUAGGACUACAGCAGGCUAUGAAUAUUUGCGUGAUAACUUUAGUUGAAUUAAGAUUGUGAGAAUCCGUUAUUUUCUAUUUUCAACUUUAUCUUAAAGGUUGAGUUUAAAGAAAUUAGUCCUAGAUUCUCUAGAAAAUGUCUAAUAUUUAUAGCAACUAUACAACUUAUGGUUAAUUCAGUCUGAGGCUGCACUAUCCAGAGUGUAAUACCUUUGCACUCAACCCUUACGUUCUACGUCAACAUUGUUUCAUGUUUUGCACUGGUUUGUAGCCAGCAAAUAGUCUCUCUCUAUAUAUAUAGACUGUUUUACACUUUUUAUUUUAAAGUUUCUGUCAGUUCAGAAUUUCAGUAAAAUUUUAAUUAUUUGGGAUGUAGAGAUUGGAAUGCCCUCCUAUUGGUAGGACAGUAGCCAGCUGCCGCAUCAAUCCAGGUUUGUGUCACCGAGAUAGAUUUAUUUAAUUUCUAUUCGACAGUGGGGGAGAAGUUAUCUUUAUGUAAUUCAUAUAGUUUUUGUGGACCUAUUUUCCAAGAUAUCUACCAUUGGUUGAUAGAUUUUAUAUCAAUCUUGGACACUAAAUCUCUCUCUAUAUAUAUAGAUUGUCAGUUAAGAAAGGAGAGUAACUUGUGAUGGUUGGGGGUAUGAAGAAGUAGUAGUGGCUGGCCUCUUUGAAUUGAUAACUUUAUGAUUAUGAAGAUCACUCACUCUAUGCAUCCACUCUCUUGAGCAAUGUAGAACCUUUUUGGAUUUUUGGAAAAUAUUUUUGAAAAGAAAAAAAACUGGAAAAAAUAUAUAUAUUAGACUGUCCGAGUUAGGGAGCAGGUACUGGUACUGGCAGAGGGUCACAACACAGGCAGUCACAGUCGGCUACAGUUCAGUUAGGGUUCAGAAUAAGUUUACUUUUGCAUCUACUUCAACAUUACUCUCCUCUCCUCAUGUUUUUUUCAUUAUUUUAUUCUCUUUUUAUGUGCUGUGGGGAAGGUAUAAGAUUUGUGAGGAGCCAUGACAAAUAUUGUAACAGUACUCAAGAAGAAAUGAGGAGGAUCCUGAAGAUUGAUUUCGAUGUUUGAUGGAUGCUUUGCUUAACUGAAUGUUAUGUCCCGUAUUCUAA
Long non-coding RNA from Cornus florida, 4717 nucleotides. RefSeq lists it as uncharacterized. The record is from RefSeq and is a predicted model, not a curated record. NCBI's taxonomy places the organism in Eukaryota, Viridiplantae, Streptophyta, Magnoliopsida, Cornales, Cornaceae. The transcript is spliced from 3 exons.